AGAACGAACGCUGGCGGCAGGCUUAACACAUGCAAGUCGAACGCCCCGCAAGGGGAGUGGCAGACGGGUGAGUAACGCGUGGGAAUCUACCCAGUUCUACGGAAUAACACAGGGAAACUUGUGCUAAUACCGUAUACGCCCUACGGGGGAAAGAUUUAUCGGGAUUGGAUGAGCCCGCGUUGGAUUAGCUAGUUGGUGGGGUAAUGGCCUACCAAGGCGACGAUCCAUAGCUGGUCUGAGAGGAUGAUCAGCCACACUGGGACUGAGACACGGCCCAGACUCCUACGGGAGGCAGCAGUGGGGAAUAUUGGACAAUGGGCGCAAGGCCUGAUCCAGCCAUGCCGCGUGAGUGAUGAAGGCCUUAGGGUUGUAAAGCUCUUUCAGUGGGGAAGAUAAUGACGGUACCACAGAAGAAGCCCGGCUAACUUCGCGCCAGCAGCCGC
RNAcentral lists this ribosomal RNA (443 nucleotides) under uncultured bacterium. RNAcentral describes it as "SSU rRNA". It matches the Rfam family "Bacterial small subunit ribosomal RNA", at positions 26 to 518 of the family's 1533-position model. The record is from RNAcentral.